This 21-nucleotide non-coding RNA is filed under the name Caenorhabditis elegans. Lineage: Eukaryota; Metazoa; Nematoda; Chromadorea; Rhabditida; Rhabditidae. The record is from RNAcentral.
UGUUAGUAAAAAAAUUCGAGA